AGAGUUUGCUUCUGGCUCAGAACGAACGCUGGCGGCGUGGAUAAGACAUGCAAGUCGAACGAGAGAAUUGCUAGCUUGCUAAUAAUUCUCUAGUGGCGCACGGGUGAGUAACACGUGAGUAACCUGCCCCCGAGAGCGGGAUAGCCCUGGGAAACUGGGAUUAAUACCGCAUAGUAUCGAAAGAUUAAAGCAGCAAUGCGCUUGGGGAUGGGCUCGCGGCCUAUUAGUUAGUUGGUGAGGUAACGGCUCACCAAGGCGAUGACGGGUAGCCGGUCUGAGAGGAUGUCCGGCCACACUGGAACUGAGACACGGUCCAGACACCUACGGGUGGCAGCAGUCGAGAAUCAUUCACAAUGGGGGAAACCCUGAUGGUGUGACGCCGCGUGGGGGAAUGAAGGUCUUCGGAUUGUAAACCCCUGUCAUGUGGGAGCAAAUUAAAAAGAUAGUACCACAAGAGGAAGAGACGGCUAACUCUGUGCCAGCAGCCGCGGUAAUACAGAGGUCUCAAGCGUUGUUCGGAAUCACUGGGCGUAAAGCGUGCGUAGGCUGUUUCGUAAGUCGUGUGUGAAAGGCGCGGGCUCAACCCGCGGACGGCACAUGAUACUGCGAGACUAGAGUAAUGGAGGGGGAACCGGAAUUCUCGGUGUAGCAGUGAAAUGCGUAGAUAUCGAGAGGAACACUCGUGGCGAAGGCGGGUUCCUGGACAUUAACUGACGCUGAGGCACGAAGGCCAGGGGAGCGAAAGGGAUUAGAUACCCCUGUAGUCCUGGCAGUAAACGGUGCACGCUUGGUGUGCGGGGAAUCGACCCCCUGCGUGCCGGAGCUAACGCGUUAAGCGUGCCGCCUGGGGAGUACGGUCGCAAGAUUAAAACUCAAAGAAAUUGACGGGGACCCGCACAAGCGGUGGAGUAUGUGGCUUAAUUCGAUGCAACGCGAAGAACCUUACCUGGGCUUGACAUGUAAUGAACAACAUGUGAAAGCAUGCGACUCUUCGGAGGCGUUACACAGGUGCUGCAUGGCCGUCGUCAGCUCGUGUCGUGAGAUGUUUGGUUAAGUCCAGCAACGAGCGCAACCCCUGUUGCCAGUUACCAGCACGUGAAGGUGGGGACUCUGGCGAGACUGCCCAGAUCAACUGGGAGGAAGGUGGGGACGACGUCAGGUCAGUAUGGCCCUUAUGCCCAGGGCUGCACACGUACUACAAUGCCCAGUACAGAGGGGGCCGAAGCCGCGAGGCGGAGGAAAUCCUGAAAACUGGGCCCAGUUCGGACUGUAGGCUGCAACCCGCCUACACGAAGCCGGAAUCGCUAGUAAUGGCGCAUCAGCUACGGCGCCGUGAAUACGUUCCCGGGUCUUGCACACACCGCCCGUCA
Molecule: ribosomal RNA, 1370 nt
Filed under: uncultured bacterium
Lineage: Bacteria
Description: bacterial SSU rRNA
Rfam family: Bacterial small subunit ribosomal RNA
Source: RNAcentral